This 84-nucleotide transfer RNA is filed under the name Candidatus Jorgensenbacteria bacterium CG23_combo_of_CG06-09_8_20_14_all_54_14. Its description in RNAcentral is "tRNA-Leu". Lineage: Bacteria; Candidatus Joergenseniibacteriota. The record is from RNAcentral.
GCGCGGGUGUCGUAAUUGGUAGCCGAGCAUCCUUGAGGUGGAUGUGCCCGUAAGGGCGUGGGAGUUCGAGUCUCCCCCCGCGCA